Molecule: ribosomal RNA, 253 nt
Filed under: uncultured bacterium
Lineage: Bacteria
Description: partial 16S ribosomal RNA
Rfam family: Bacterial small subunit ribosomal RNA
Source: RNAcentral
UACGGAGGGGGCGAGCGUUAAUCGGAAUUACUGAGCGUAAAGCGUGCGCAGGCGGUUCGUUGUGUCGGCGGUGAAAGCCCCGGGCUUAACCUGGGAAUGGCCGUUGAAACUGGCGAACUGGAGUGUGGCAGAGGGGGGUGGAAUUCCGCGUGUAGCAGUGAAAUGCGUAGAGAUGCGGAGGAACACCGAUGGCGAAGGCAGCCCCCUGGGCUAACACUGACGCUCAGGCACGAAAGCGUGGGGAGCAAACAGG